Molecule: ribosomal RNA, 2271 nt
Filed under: Triticum aestivum (bread wheat)
Lineage: Eukaryota; Viridiplantae; Streptophyta; Magnoliopsida; Poales; Poaceae
Description: partial small subunit ribosomal RNA
Source: RNAcentral
AUGAGGGGCGCGGUGUUGGUGGCCAUCACGGCCGCCAUAGGCAACAUGCUCCAGGGCGUGGACAACGCCACGAUCGCCGGUGCCGUGAUGUACAUCAAGAGGGAGUUCCACCUGGAGACGCAGCCGGCCGUUGAGGGCCUCGUGGUGGCCACCUCCCUCAUCGGCGCCACCAUCAUCACCACUUUCUCCGGCCCCGUCGCCGACAUUGUUGGCCGCCGCCCGAUGCUCAUCGCCUCCUCGCUCCUCUACUUCCUGGGCGGGCUCGUCAUGCUCUGGUCUCCCAACGUGUACGUGCUCCUCAUCGCCCGUCUCAUCGACGGCUUCGGCGUGGGCCUCGCCGUCACGCUCGUCCCCGUCUACAUCUCCGAGACGGCGCCGCCGGAGAUCCGGGGCUUGCUCAACACCUUUCCGCAGUUCACGGGUUCUGCCGGCAUGUUCAUGGCCUACUGCAUGAUCUUCACCAUGACGCUCCAUCCGGGCCCGAGCUGGCGAACCAUGCUGGGCGUGCUAGCCGGGCCCUCUCUGAUCUACCUCGCGCUGACGGUGUUCUACCUGCCGGAGUCCCCGCGCUGGCUGGUGAGCAAGGGGAGGAUGAAGGAGGCGAGGGUGGUGCUGGAGAAGCUUAGGGGCAGGGAGGACGUGUCCGGCGAGAUGGCGCUGCUGGUGGAGGGGCUGGGGAGCGCCGGCGAGACGGAGAUCGAGGAGUACGUCGUCGGCCCGGCGGACGGCGACCAGGAACAGAGGGACACGGUGACGCUGUACGGGCCCGAGCAGGGGCUGUCGUGGGUGGCGCAGCCCGUCGCCGGCGGGAGGGGCAGCAUGCUGGGGAGCGCACUGGGGCUCGGUGGCACGGGGAGGCAGGGGAGCAUGUUCGACUCCAUGAGGGACCCCGUGGUGGCGCUCCUCGGGAGCGUGCACGAGCGCCUCCCCGGAGACGGCGGCGCCGGGAGCAUGAGGGGGAGCACGCUGUUCCCCAACCUCGGGAGCAUGCUCAGCGUUGAGAGGCCUGGCGGCGCCGCCCCCGGCGCCCCCGGCGGCAGCGGUGGAGCGUGGGACGAGGAGAACGCGGCGCGCGCGGAUGACGAGGACGACGAGUACCUGUCGGACGACGACGAGCCGGCAGCAGCGCCUGGCGGCGGUGGCGGUCUCGAGGCGCCCCUGCUGUCGAGGCAGAGCACGGAGGUGGAAGGUAAGACGAACGCCAACGAUCCACGGAGCCAGUCUAUGCAGAGGUUCAGCAGCAUGGGCGGCGGCGUGGACGCGGCAAGCACCAUGGGCAUCGGCGGCGGCUGGCAGCUGGCGUGGAAGUGGACCGAGAAGGUGGGCCCCGAUGGCGUGAAGCGCGGCGGCGUCAAGAGGAUGUACCUGCACGAGGAAGGCAUACCCGGCGGCGCCGACGGCGCGGCCGCGGGCGCCGCCGGACCUGGCGAGUACGUCCACGCAGCGGCGCUGGUCAGCCAGUCCAUGCUCUACACCAAGGACGUCCUCAUCGGACAGAGCCCCACCGAGCCCGCCUUCGCCAACCCACCGGAGGCCGUCGCCACCAAGGCCGCCGCCAGCGGCCCCCGCUGGCGCGAGCUCCUCGAGCCCGGCGUCCGCCACGCCCUGUUCUGUGGGAUGAUGAUUCAAAUCCUCCAGCAGUUCUCCGGCAUCAACGGCGUGCUCUACUACACGCCACAGAUCCUGGACCAGGCCGGCGUCAGCGUGCUCCUCGCCGGCCUCGGCCUGAGCGCCGACUCCACCUCCAUCCUCAUCUCGGGCCUCACCACGCUGCUCAUGAUGCCGAGUAUCGGGCUCGCCAUGUGGCUCAUGGACUUGUCUGGCCGGCGCACCCUGCUGCUCACCACCAUCCCCGUGCUCAUCUUCUCCCUCGUCAUCCUCAUCGUCGCCAACGUCGUGCCCAUGGCCACCACCGUGCACGCCGCGCUCUCCACCGGCUCCGUCAUCAUCUACUUCUGCUGCUUCGUCAUGGGCUUUGGCCCCAUCCCCAACAUCCUCUGCGCCGAGAUCUUCCCCACCCGUGUCCGCGGCCUCUGCAUCGCGCUCUGCUCCCUCACCUUCUGGAUCGGCGACAUCAUCGUCACCUACAGCCUCCCCGUCAUGCUCAACUCCAUCGGCCUCGCGGGGGUCUUCGGCAUCUACGCCUGCGUCUGCUGCCUCGCGCUUGUCUUCGUCGCCCUCAAGGUGCCCGAGACCAAGGGCCUGCCGCUCGAGGUCAUCAUCGAGUUCUUCAACGUCGGCGCCAAGGGAAUCCCAGAGCAGAUGGAUUAA